CAGUCGAGCGGCAGCGACUUAACUGAACCUUCGGGGGACGUUAAGGGCGGCGAGCGGCGGACGGGUGAGUAAUGGCUGGGAACCUGCCUGGUAGAGGGGGAUAACCACUGGAAACGGUGGCUAAUACCGCAUGAUGUCUACGGACCAAAGAGGGGGACCUUCGGGCCUCUCGCUACCGGAUGGGCCCAGUUGGGAUUAGCUAGUUGGUGGGGUAAAGGCUCACCAAGGCGACGAUCCCUAGCUGGUUUGAGAGGAUGAUCAGCCACACUGGAACUGAGACACGGUCCAGACUCCUACGGGAGGCAGCAGUGGGGAAUAUUGCACAAUGGGCGCAAGCCUGAUGCAGCCAUGCCGCGUGUGUGAAGAAGGCCUUCGGGUUGUAAAGCACUUUCAGCCGUGAGGAAGGCAUUGUACUUAAUACGUGCAGUGUUUGACGUUAGCGGCAGAAGAAGCACCGGCUAACUCCGUGCCAGCAGC
RNAcentral lists this ribosomal RNA (477 nucleotides) under bacterium BSD4-7. RNAcentral's name for it is "bacterial SSU rRNA". It matches the Rfam family "Bacterial small subunit ribosomal RNA", at positions 59 to 515 of the family's 1533-position model. The record is from RNAcentral.